Molecule: ribosomal RNA, 551 nt
Filed under: uncultured bacterium
Lineage: Bacteria
Description: bacterial SSU rRNA
Rfam family: Bacterial small subunit ribosomal RNA
Source: RNAcentral
UAGGGAAUCUNUCCGCAAUGGGCGAAAGCCUGACGGAGCAACGCCGCGUGAGUGAUGAAGGUCUUCGGAUCGUAAAACUCUGUUAUUAGGGAAGAACAUAUGUGUAAGUAACUGUGCACAUCUUGACGGUACCUAAUCAGAAAGCCACGGCUAACUACGUGCCAGCAGCCGCGGUAAUACGUAGGUGGCAAGCGUUAUCCGGAAUUAUUGGGCGUAAAGCGCGCGUAGGCGGUUUUUUAAGUCUGAUGUGAAAGCCCACGGCUCAACCGUGGAGGGUCAUUGGAAACUGGAAAACUUGAGUGCAGAAGAGGAAAGUGGAAUUCCAUGUGUAGCGGUGAAAUGCGCAGAGAUAUGGAGGAACACCAGUGGCGAAGGCGACUUUCUGGUCUGUAACUGACGCUGAUGUGCGAAAGCGUGGGGAUCAAACAGGAUUAGAUACCCUGGUAGUCCACGCCGUAAACGAUGAGUGCUAAGUGUUAGGGGGUUUCCGCCCCUUAGUGCUGCAGCUAACGCAUUAAGCACUCCGCCUGGGGAGUACGACCGCAAGGUUG